RNAcentral lists this unclassified non-coding RNA (329 nucleotides) under soil metagenome. RNAcentral describes it as "partial contains 5.8S ribosomal RNA, internal transcribed spacer 2, and large subunit ribosomal RNA". The stretch from base 1 to 120 matches the Rfam family "5.8S ribosomal RNA", at positions 35 to 154 of the family's 154-position model. The record is from RNAcentral.
GAUGAAGAACGUAGCGAAAUGCGAUAAGUAGUGUGAAUUGCAGAAUUCAGUGAAUCAUCGAAUCUUUGAACGCACAUUGCGCCCCUUGGUAUCCCGAGGGGCAUGCCUGUUCGAGCGUCAUUUCACCACUCAAGCCUGGCUUGGUGUUGGGCGACGUCCUCUUUGGGGACGCGCCUCGAAACGCUCGGCGGCGUGGCACCGGCUUUAAGCGUAGCAGAAUCUUUCGCUUUGGAAGUCGGGGCCCCGUCUGCCGGAAUACCUACUCGUAAAGUUGACCUCGGAUCAGGCAGGGAUACCCGCUGAACUUAAGCAUAUCAAUAAGCGGAGGA